This 253-nucleotide ribosomal RNA is filed under the name uncultured bacterium. RNAcentral's name for it is "partial 16S ribosomal RNA". It matches the Rfam family "Bacterial small subunit ribosomal RNA", at positions 524 to 776 of the family's 1533-position model. The record is from RNAcentral.
UACGUAGGGUGCGAGCGUUAAUCGGAAUUACUGGGCGUAAAGCGUGCGCAGGCGGUUCGUUGUGUCGGCGGUGAAAGCCCCGGGCUCAACCUGGGAAUGGCCGUUGAAACUGGCGAACUGGAGUGUGGCAGAGGGGGGUGGAACUCCGCGUGUAGCAGUGAAAUGCGUAGAGAUGCGGAGGAACACCGAUGGCGAAGGCAGCCCCCUGGGCUGACACUGACGCUCAGGCACGAAAGCGUGGGGAGCAAACAGG